RNAcentral lists this long non-coding RNA (1106 nucleotides) under Equus asinus (donkey). RNAcentral's name for it is "lncRNA (ENSEASG00005028796.1)". The record is from RNAcentral. Lineage: Eukaryota; Metazoa; Chordata; Mammalia; Perissodactyla; Equidae.
CUUGCCUAAAUGAGGCCUCCAGGGAGGGGCUUUCCCACCAAGGAACAGCUCCCGCAGAACUGCACAGAGCUGAUGGUUCCUGGCUGAAAGCUGCAGGCCAGUGUUCCAUCCAGCAGCUGUUUUUUUAGCUGCUGCUUCCACACAAAGGAGGUUUGCUUAGAGACAGCAGCCUUGCCGACAAAGCAUAGACGUCUGCAAUGGCGCUGGGAUCCCUCUCGACACUAGCGCGGUGGGGUUACUGAGAGCGACCCGUUGAUUCUAGCUUCGAAGGACCUCCUCCUGCAGUCGGGAGGUAAGUGUCCACAAAGGGCUGUGAUGGAAGGCAGACGUUCUUGGACUUGGAUCCGAACUGAAGAUCCUCAUUGAGCGCAUCAGGGAGGCAAGGUUUCUAUAGCCCAUUGAUUUACCUUCUCGAGACUAGCUAGAAUCUGAGAGCGCCAUAUAGGGAGGAGGGCACCUCUCCUGCCAAAAACAUCGACGGCUCCACUGCAGACCCCCACCUCUCCUCCUCGUCCAGCAACACAUCCCCUCCUCCCCUCAACAUUCAAUGCUCUUUAGACUCAGGACCAACUCACCUAAAAUGGGGGUGAGGGGAAAGAUCCUGAUUAACUGAGUCUCAGGAGAUUAUACUGGGAAAUUCUUUAUAAAAGAGUUCCUGGAUUGGGGGCAGGGCUUUGCUUGAGGGGGUCUCCAAUAGCUUGGGAGCUGACCGUGUGCCGGGCCGCUUCCCGCGGGGCCCCCAGCUCCGUGCGCCCCAUGCCCGGCGGCGCCUGGGCCUCGGGGACCCGCAGAGCAGGCGAGCGCGCCGUCCCCGCCUCCAGGCGGGCCGGGGGCGGGGACCCCUCCCCUUCGCCCAUCCCCUGAGGGCCGGCCGCCCUGGCGCUUGAGGGAGGGCCGGGCGGAGGGGGGAGAGGGCGGCGGGGCGGGGCUCGGGCCACUGCGGAGCGGGGGGCGGCGCCGCGGGGCCCCGGUGAACCGGGACCGGGGCGCACGGGCCGGGCCGAGCCGAGGCGGCCGCCGAGCCGGGUCGGAGCCGUCGGGGGCCUGGCGCACCCGGCCUGGCCGCUUUCCCCGCGGCGCUGGGAUCUUGGCUGGGGGCGGCGCCG